This 211-nucleotide ribosomal RNA is filed under the name uncultured bacterium. RNAcentral's name for it is "partial 16S ribosomal RNA". It matches the Rfam family "Bacterial small subunit ribosomal RNA", at positions 1290 to 1500 of the family's 1533-position model. The record is from RNAcentral.
AGUUCGGAUUGUAGGCUGCAACUCGCCUACAUGAAGUCGGAAUUGCUAGUAAUCGCGGAUCAGCAUGCCGCGGUGAAUACGUUCCCGGGCCUUGUACACACCGCCCGUCACACCAUGGGAGUCGGUAACACCCGAAGCCUGUAGUCUAACCGCAAGGGGGACGCAGUCGAAGGUGGGAUUGAUGACUGGGGUGAAGUCGUAACAAGGUAGC